UACGUAGGGGGCAAGCGUUGUCCGGAUUUAUUGGGCGUAAAGAGCGUGCAGGCGGCCAUGUAGGUCCGUUGUGAAAACUCGAGGCUCAACCUCGAGACGCCGAUGGAAACCAUGUGGCUAGAGUCCGGAAGAGGAGAGUGGAAUUCCUGGUGUAGCGGUGAAAUGCGCAGAUAUCAGGAAGAACACCCGUGGCUAAGGCGGCUCUCUAGUACGGUACUGACGCUGAGACGCGAAAGCGUGGGGAGCGAACAGG
RNAcentral lists this ribosomal RNA (253 nucleotides) under uncultured bacterium. RNAcentral's name for it is "partial 16S ribosomal RNA". It matches the Rfam family "Bacterial small subunit ribosomal RNA", at positions 524 to 776 of the family's 1533-position model. The record is from RNAcentral.